Molecule: ribosomal RNA, 440 nt
Filed under: uncultured bacterium
Lineage: Bacteria
Description: partial 16S ribosomal RNA
Rfam family: Bacterial small subunit ribosomal RNA
Source: RNAcentral
CCUACGGGAGGCAGCAGUAGGGAAUAUUGCUCAAUGGGCGAAACCCUGAAGCAGCAACGCAGCGUGGAGGAUGAAGGUCUUCGGAUUGUAAACUCCUUUUGUUAGAGAAGUUAAUGACGGUACGUAACGAAUAAUCACCGGCUAACUCCGUUCCAGCAGCCGCGGUAAUACGGAGGGUGCAAGCGUUACUCGGAAUCACUGGGCGUAAAGGGCGCGUAGGCGGGAUAGCAAGUCAGAUGUGAAAUCCUAUGGCUUAACCAUAGAACUGCAUUUGAAACUGUUAUUCUAGAGUAUGGGAGAGGUAGGUGGAAUUCGUGGUGUAGGGGUGAAAUGCGUAGAGAUCAAGAAGAAUACUCAUUGCGAAGGCGGCCUGCUAGAACGUAACUGACGCUGAUGCGCGAAAGCGUGGGGAGCAAACAGGAUUAGAUACCCUUGUAGUC